Molecule: ribosomal RNA, 611 nt
Filed under: uncultured bacterium
Lineage: Bacteria
Description: bacterial SSU rRNA
Rfam family: Bacterial small subunit ribosomal RNA
Source: RNAcentral
AGCUGGUCUGAGAGGAUGAUCAGCCACACUGGGACUGAGAUACGGCCCAGACUCCUACGGGAGGCAGCAGUGGGGAAUAUUGGACAAUGGGGGAAACCCUGAUCCAGCCAUGCCGCGUGUGUGAUGAAGGCCUUCGGGUUGUAAAGCACUUUCGCACGUGACGAUGAUGACGGUAACGUGAGAAGAAGCCCCGGCUAACUUCGUGCCAGCAGCCGCGGUAAUACGAAGGGGGCAAGCGUUGUUCGGAAUUACUGGGCGUAAAGGGCGCGUAGGCGGUGCACUAAGUCAGGCGUGAAAGCCCUGGGCUCAACCCGGGAAUUGCGUUUGAUACUGGUGCGCUUGAAUCCAGGAGAGGUUGGUGGAAUUCCCAGUGUAGAGGUGAAAUUCGUAGAGAUUGGGAAGAACACCGGUGGCGAAGGCGGCCAACUGGACUGGUAUUGACGCUGAGGCGCGAAAGCGUGGGGAGCAAACAGGAUUAGAUACCCUGGUAGUCCACGCUGUAAACGAUGUGUGCUAGCCGUUGGGGCUCUUAGAGCCUCGGUGGCGUCGCUAACGCUUUAAGCACACCGCCUGGGGAGUACGGUCGCAAGAUUAAAACUCAAAGGAAUGAC